RNAcentral lists this ribosomal RNA (879 nucleotides) under Escherichia coli. Its description in RNAcentral is "bacterial LSU rRNA". It matches the Rfam family "Bacterial large subunit ribosomal RNA", at positions 593 to 1341 of the family's 2925-position model. The record is from RNAcentral. Lineage: Bacteria; Pseudomonadati; Pseudomonadota; Gammaproteobacteria; Enterobacterales; Enterobacteriaceae.
GUGACUGCGUACCUUUUGUAUAAUGGGUCAGCGACUUAUAUUCUGUAGCAAGGUUAACCGAAUAGGGGAGCCGAAGGGAAACCGAGUCUUAACUGGGCGUUAAGUUGCAGGGUAUAGACCCGAAACCCGGUGAUCUAGCCAUGGGCAGGUUGAAGGUUGGGUAACACUAACUGGAGGACCGAACCGACUAAUGUUGAAAAAUUAGCGGAUGACUUGUGGCUGGGGGUGAAAGGCCAAUCAAACCGGGAGAUAGCUGGUUCUCCCCGAAAGCUAUUUAGGUAGCGCCUCGUGAAUUCAUCUCCGGGGGUAGAGCACUGUUUCGGCAAGGGGGUCAUCCCGACUUACCAACCCGAUGCAAACUGCGAAUACCGGAGAAUGUUAUCACGGGAGACACACGGCGGGUGCUAACGUCCGUCGUGAAGAGGGAAACAACCCAGACCGCCAGCUAAGGUCCCAAAGUCAUGGUUAAGUGGGAAACGAUGUGGGAAGGCCCAGACAGCCAGGAUGUUGGCUUAGAAGCAGCCAUCAUUUAAAGAAAGCGUAAUAGCUCACUGGUCGAGUCGGCCUGCGCGGAAGAUGUAACGGGGCUAAACCAUGCACCGAAGCUGCGGCAGCGACACUAUGUNCAGCCAGGAUGUUGGCUUAGAAGCAGCCAUCAUUUAAAGAAAGCGUAAUAGCUCACUGGUCGAGUCGGCCUGCGCGGAAGAUGUAACGGGGCUAAACCAUGCACCGAAGCUGCGGCAGCGACGCUUAUGCGUUGUUGGGUAGGGGAGCGUUCUGUAAGCCUGCGAAGGUGUACUGUGAGGUAUGCUGGAGGUAUCAGAAGUGCGAAUGCUGACAUAAGUAACGAUAAAGCGGGUGAAAAGCCCGCUCGCUGGA